GCGAGUGAAGCGGGAUGAGCUCAAAUUUGUAAUCUGGUGGACUCAGUUCAUCCGAAUUGUAAUCUAUAGAAAAGUUUUCCGCGCUGGACCGUGUCUAAGUCCCUUGGAACAGGGUGUCAGAGAGGGUGAGAAUCCCGUGCUUGAUACGACCACCAGUGCUAUGUGAUACUUUUUCAACGAGUCGAGUUGUUUGGGAAUGCAGCUCAAAAUGGGUGGUAAAUUCCAUCUAAAGCUAAAUAUUGGCGAGAGACCGAUAGCGAACAAGUACCGUGAGGGAAAGAUGAAAAGCACUUUGGAAAGAGAGUUAAACAGUACGUGAAAUUGUUAAAAGGGAAACGAUUGAAGUCAGUCGUGCUCUCUAGGACUCAGCCAGUUCUUCUGGUGUAUUUCCUAGUGAGCGGGUCAACAUCAGUUUAGAUCGCUGGAUAAGGUCAUUAGGAAUGUGGCUCCCUCGGGAGUGUUAUAGCCUAGUGUCGCAUACAGUGGUUUAGACUGAGGAACGCAGCUCGCCUUUAUGGCCGGGGUUCGCCCACGUCCGAGCUUAGGAUGUUGACAUAAUGGCUUUAAACGACCC
RNAcentral lists this ribosomal RNA (574 nucleotides) under Cryptococcus sp. GY38L01. Its description in RNAcentral is "eukaryotic LSU rRNA". It matches the Rfam family "Eukaryotic large subunit ribosomal RNA", at positions 89 to 650 of the family's 3401-position model. The record is from RNAcentral. Lineage: Eukaryota; Fungi; Basidiomycota; Tremellomycetes; Tremellales; Cryptococcaceae.